UGCCUACGGGAGGCAGCAGUGGGGAAUCUUCCACAAUGGACGAAAGUCUGUUGGAGCAACGCCGCGUGAGUGAAGAAGGGUUUCGGCUCGUAAAGCUCUGUUGGUAGUGAAGAAAGAUAGAGGUAGUAACUGGCCUUUAUUUGACGGUAAUUACUUAGAAAGUCACGGCUAACUACGUGCCAGCAGCCGCGGUAAUAAGUAGGUGGCAAGCGUUGUCCGGAUUUAUUGGGCGUAAAGCGAGUGCAGGCGGUU
Molecule: ribosomal RNA, 252 nt
Filed under: uncultured bacterium
Lineage: Bacteria
Description: partial 16S ribosomal RNA
Rfam family: Bacterial small subunit ribosomal RNA
Source: RNAcentral